RNAcentral lists this ribosomal RNA (253 nucleotides) under uncultured bacterium. Its description in RNAcentral is "partial 16S ribosomal RNA". It matches the Rfam family "Bacterial small subunit ribosomal RNA", at positions 524 to 776 of the family's 1533-position model. The record is from RNAcentral.
GACAGAGGGGGCAAGCGUUGCUCGGAAUCACUGGGCGUAAAGGGCGCGUAGGCGGGAUGGCAAGUCAGUCGUGAAAUCUCUCGGCUCAACCGAGAAACGUCGGCUGAUACUGCCGUUCUUGAGGGAUGCAGAGGAGACUGGAAUUCCCGGUGUAGCGGUGAAAUGUGUAGAGAUCGGGAGGAACACCGGUGGCGAAGGCAGGUCUCUGGGCCGCAACUGACGCUGAGGAGCGAAAGCAUGGGGAGCGAACAGG